AGAUGCAAAGGCUACAGUUUGAAUAAUUGACUUUGGCCAUUCAAAACCUGUUGAUCCUUAGGAGUUGUCCACUCUCACUACACUGGAGGGAUGCCGCUGUCAGACAAAUGGGAUUAUAUGAAAACUAGAGGUCAGCUGGCUCAUUGUAUCACAUGGAAAGGGACAUCUGGCCUUCCUUUAUCCUCCUUAAAAAGCAAGAGCAAGGGAAACAUCAUAGAAGAUGCCUUGACAACUCCCUUAGAAGGCCUUGGAGGAAGAAAGAUUUCAG
Long non-coding RNA from Mus caroli (Ryukyu mouse), 268 nucleotides. RefSeq lists it as uncharacterized. The record is from RefSeq and is a predicted model, not a curated record. Lineage: Eukaryota; Metazoa; Chordata; Mammalia; Rodentia; Muridae.